RNAcentral lists this ribosomal RNA (492 nucleotides) under uncultured bacterium. Its description in RNAcentral is "partial 16S ribosomal RNA". It matches the Rfam family "Bacterial small subunit ribosomal RNA", at positions 29 to 507 of the family's 1533-position model. The record is from RNAcentral.
AUUGAACGCUGGCGGCAUGCUUUACACAUGCAAGUCGAACGGUAACAGGCCUUCGGGUGCUGACGAGUGGCGCACGGGUGAGUAAUGCAUCGGAACGUACCCAGAGGUGGGGGAUAACGCAGCGAAAGCUGUGCUAAUACCGCAUGUGAUCUGAGGAUGAAAGCGGGGGACCGAGCAGCAAUGUUUGGCCUCGCGCCUUUGGAGCGGCCGAUGUCGGAUUAGCUAGUUGGUGGGGUAAAGGCCUACCAAGGCGACGAUCCGUAGCUGGUCUGAGAGGACGACCAGCCACACUGGGACUGAGACACGGCACAGACUCCUACGGGAGGCAGCAGUGGGGAAUUUUGGACAAUGGGCGCAAACCUGAUCCAGCAAUGCCGCGUGCGGGAAGAAGGCCUUCGGGUUGUAAACCGCUUUUGGCAGGAACGAAACGGUGUCCGCUAAUACCGGGCGCUAAUGACGGUACCUGCAGAAUAAGCACCGGCUAACUACGUG